This 490-nucleotide ribosomal RNA is filed under the name uncultured bacterium. Its description in RNAcentral is "partial 16S ribosomal RNA". It matches the Rfam family "Bacterial small subunit ribosomal RNA", at positions 30 to 507 of the family's 1533-position model. The record is from RNAcentral.
AUUGAACGCUGGCGGCAGGCCUAACACAUGCAAGUCGAAUGGUAACAGGAAACAGCUUGCUGUUUCGCUGACGAGUGGCGGACGGGUGAGUAAUGUCUGGGAAACUGCCUGAUGGAGGGGGAUAACUACUGGAAACGGUAGCUAAUACCGCAUAACGUCGCAAGACCAAAGAGGGGGACCUUCGGGCCUCUUGCCAUCAGAGAUGCCCAGAUGGGAAUAGCUAGUAGGUGGGGUAACGGCUCACCUAGGCGACGAUCCCUAGCUGGUCUGAGAGGGUGAGGAGCCACACUGGAACUGAGCCACGGUCCAGACUCCUACGGGAGGCAGCAGUGGGGAAUAUUGCACAAUGGGCGCAAGCCUGAUGCAGCCAUGCCGCGUGUAUGAAGACGGCCUUCGGGUUGUAAAGUACUUUUAGCGGGGAGGAAGGGAGUAAAGUUAAUACCUUUGCUCAUUGACGUUACCCGCAGAAGAAGCACCGGCUAACUACGUG